CUUUCCAUGCGUCCCGGUGAUGGCCUUAACUGCAACUGCCACUCAGCCAGUUCAUGAGGAUAUCCUAAAAGCUCUCAAGAUCCCCCAUGCUCUUGUUCUCAAGACUCUGACAGACCAAACCUAAAAUAUGAGGUCAUAUCUAAGACCAAGGAACCACUGAAGCAGCUUGAAGAGCUACUAAAGAAUCGUUUUGCUAAUUUGUGUCGCAUAGUGUAUUGCCUCUCAAAGAGUGAAUGCGUUGAUGUUGCAAAUUACUUGAAUGAUAAGUGCGGUAUAAAGACGGUGUACUAUCAUGUUGUAUUAGCAGCCCGUCAAAGAGUAGCUGUCCAAAAGAAAUGGCAUGCUGGAGAGGUCCAGGUUGUAUGUGCAGUCAUUGCUUUUGGAAUGGGAAUAGACAAACCUGAUGUUCGUUUUGUCAUCCACAACACAAUGUCCAAGUCAAUCGAAAGCUGUUACCAAGAAUGAGGGAGGGCAGGAAGAGAUAAUCUACCAGCAGUGCGCAUUGCUCUAUAUGCAAAAAAGGACUUCAGUCGGGUUGUGGGCAUGUUAAGGAGUGGUCAAGGAUGUAAAACUGAAAUCUUUAGAAGUGCACUGGCUCAAGCUAGGAAAAUCAGCGAUAUUGUGAUCUCAAGGUAAUCCAAUUUGUGUUCUCGACUUCUCUCUGAAGAUCUCAACUAAGUGAUGCUUCUAUUUUGUGUUUACACUUUCCACUUUGUUCUAUUGAUUGUUCUUAGUGUUAGUCUGGCAUUACCCCGUCUGGAUGCUGGAUCAUUAGAUGGAUCUGUUGGCAACAUAUUCACAAAGUAAUGGACCCUUUGGGCUAAAAUCAUAUUCCGCUCACCUAAAUGGAGCAAAGUCUAUUGAUAAACGGGUGUUUCUUCUCCAAUUUGUGAAUUUUCAGGAUAAGUGUCAGUGGCAAACCUUACUUGUGCACUUUGGCAUGUUUGUGAAUCAGGAAGACUGUAAAUAUGGUUCUAA
Long non-coding RNA from Eucalyptus grandis, 978 nucleotides. RefSeq lists it as uncharacterized. The transcript has 3 exons. The record is from RefSeq and is a predicted model, not a curated record. Lineage: Eukaryota; Viridiplantae; Streptophyta; Magnoliopsida; Myrtales; Myrtaceae.